AGGAUUCUAAUCGAUGCACAUACCUUGAAGCUAGCGUUGACGAACUUAAGUGUACUGUCAUUGAAUUGCGUCGGCAGAUAGAGGAGACACAAAAACAAAAGAAUGAUCUCGAAAAAACUGUAAAUGAUUUGACGAAAUCAUCAUGUGUUGUCCGGAAAGUACGUAGAUGCGCAUCAUACAUUUCGGGUUUUUACUCCAGAUUAUUUCAGAACACUGUCGAUGUUCACUAUACCGAAGAAGAAGAAGAAGAUGAUGGAACAGAAGGAGGAAGAGAAGGAGAAAGUUUGCUUUCAAAUUCACAUACAAGAAAUUACUGGAACAUUGAUAAUUUACCACAUUUAUUUAGAUAAGCUGCCAAUUAAUAUACCUUAAUUAAAACAGACAAUUAUUUUAAAAAGACGAAAGUUUUAAUACUCGUCCAUUAGUAUAUUUCACAAGUAAGGCCUAAACUAAAAGUGUUUAUUUCUCUACCCACAAAAUUAGCUACCCCAAAAAAAUCACUGCCAUAAAUAAUACCUUCCUAACUGUAUACCUACCUACCAUCUCAAACUGACAUUGGUCCCGAAACAAGCCUAAACACACUGGCAUGGUAGGGGGGAACAAAUUUUGUAUAUAAAGGCUGCCCGAAUAUAAUAUUUUCUAUACUCUUUAGUAUUAAACAUGAUACCAAGUAUCAAAAAUAAAAGAACAAGGUAAUGGCUACUACAAAAGGAAAGACUCAUUACUUUAAAGUUAGUUUUUGUGGUGUAAAAAUGGCACGAGAACCUUCGCUACAGUUUCCAUAUAGAAAAAUAGAAACUAUAUGUUUUAUACUUAUACUCUAUGCCAUUUCUACAUAAAUAUCUUACAUAACAGUUCUCUUGAAAGUCAUCAAAUACUCGAUUUAUGUGUUUAUAUUAUAUGUUAUUUUGGUUUUGGAGUGAUAUAUGUGGAUAUAUUACCUGUUAAGAUUUUAUAUCACCCGAGCCGUAGGCGAGGGUGAUAUUUUAUCUUGGCAGGUAAUAUAUCCACAUAUAUCACUCCAAAACCAAAAUAAUAAUUUUAUUACCCUUCCCCUGCCGAGUUAAGACGAUUUUUUAAAAAAUCAUUGCUGUUUCAAAUGAAACGUCGAAAUAAAUUUCCCUUUAGGGUACCUCUUCGUCACAACAUGACGUCACAUAAAUACAUGACGUUUUUUUUCCGUACCUAACGAAUGUAAA
This is a long non-coding RNA of Ruditapes philippinarum (Manila clam), 1199 nucleotides long. RefSeq lists it as uncharacterized. NCBI's taxonomy places the organism in Eukaryota, Metazoa, Mollusca, Bivalvia, Venerida, Veneridae. The transcript is spliced from 3 exons. The record is from RefSeq and is a predicted model, not a curated record.